GAGCAGGGCGCCGUGCUUACACAUGCAGUCGACGAUGAACCGCUUUCGGGCGGGGAUUAGUGGCGAACGGGUGAGUAACACGUGGGCAAUCUGCCCUGCACUCUGGGACAAGCCCUGGAAACGGGGUCUAAUACCGGAUAUGACUGUCCAUCGCAUGGUGGAUGGUGUAAAGCUCCGGCGGUGCAGGAUGAGCCCGCGGCCUAUCAGCUUGUUGGUGAGGUAGUGGCUCACCAAGGCGACGACGGGUAGCCGGCCUGAGAGGGCGACCGGCCACACUGGGACUGAGACACGGCCCAGACUCCUACGGGAGGCAGCAGUGGGGAAUAUUGCACAAUGGGCGAAAGCCUGAUGCAGCGACGCCGCGUGAGGGAUGACGGCCUUCGGGUUGUAAACCUCUUUCAGCAGGGAAGAAGCGAAAGUGACGGUACCUGCAGAAGAAGCGCCGGCUAACUACGUGCCAGCAGCCGCGGUAAUACGUAAGGCGCAAGCGAUGUCCGGAAUUAUUGGGCGUAAAGAGCUCGUAGGCGGCUUGUCACGUCGGUUGUGAAAGCCCGGGGCUUAACCCCGGGUCUGCAGUCGAUACGGGCAGGCUAGAGUUCGGUAGGGGAGAUCGGAAUUCCUGGU
RNAcentral lists this ribosomal RNA (624 nucleotides) under Streptomyces sp. PF1_30. Its description in RNAcentral is "bacterial SSU rRNA". It matches the Rfam family "Bacterial small subunit ribosomal RNA", at positions 31 to 674 of the family's 1533-position model. The record is from RNAcentral. Lineage: Bacteria; Bacillati; Actinomycetota; Actinomycetes; Kitasatosporales; Streptomycetaceae.